GCGGAUGUGGCGAAACUGGUAGACGCGCGGGAUUUAGGUUCCCGUGGGGAGACUCGUGUAGGUUCAAGUCCUAUCAUCCGCACCA
This 85-nucleotide transfer RNA is filed under the name Alphaproteobacteria bacterium. RNAcentral's name for it is "tRNA-Leu". It matches the Rfam family "tRNA". Rfam says of the family: Transfer RNA (tRNA) molecules are approximately 80 nucleotides in length. Their secondary structure includes four short double-helical elements and three loops (D, anti-codon, and T loops). Further hydrogen bonds mediate the characteristic L-shaped molecular structure. tRNAs have two regions of fundamental functional importance: the anti-codon, which is responsible for specific mRNA codon recognition, and the 3' end, to which the tRNAs corresponding amino acid is attached (by aminoacyl-tRNA synthetases). tRNAs cope with the degeneracy of the genetic code in two manners: having more than one tRNA (with a specific anti-codon) for a particular amino acid; and 'wobble' base-pairing, i.e. permitting non-standard base-pairing at the 3rd anti-codon position. The record is from RNAcentral. Lineage: Bacteria; Pseudomonadati; Pseudomonadota; Alphaproteobacteria.